Molecule: ribosomal RNA, 256 nt
Filed under: uncultured archaeon
Lineage: Archaea
Description: partial 16S ribosomal RNA
Rfam family: Bacterial small subunit ribosomal RNA
Source: RNAcentral
UAAUACGGAGGGGGCUAGCGUUGUUCGGAAUUACUGGGCGUAAAGCGCGCGUAGGCGGACUGUUAAGUCGGGGGUGAAAUCCCGGGGCUCAACCCCGGAACUGCCUUCGAUACUGGCAGUCUAGAGGAAGGCAGAGGCUAGUGGAAUGGCGAGUGUAGAGGUGAAAUUCGUAGAUAUUCGCCGGAACACCAGUGGCGAAGGCGACUGGCUGGGCCUUUUCUGACGCUGAGGUGCGAAAGCGUGGGGAGCAAACAGG